This 375-nucleotide ribosomal RNA is filed under the name uncultured Rhodoferax sp. Its description in RNAcentral is "bacterial SSU rRNA". It matches the Rfam family "Bacterial small subunit ribosomal RNA", at positions 1005 to 1382 of the family's 1533-position model. The record is from RNAcentral. Lineage: Bacteria; Pseudomonadati; Pseudomonadota; Betaproteobacteria; Burkholderiales; Comamonadaceae.
AUAGAGGGUGCUCGAAAGAGAGCCGUAACACAGGUGCUGCAUGGCUGUCGUCAGCUCGUGUCGUGAGAUGUUGGGUUAAGUCCCGCAACGAGCGCAACCCUUGUCAUUAGUUGCUACAUUCAGUUGGGCACUCUAAUGAGACUGCCGGUGACAAGCCGGAGGAAGGUGGGGAUGACGUCAAGUCCUCAUGGCCCUUAUAGGUGGGGCUACACACGUCAUACAAUGGCUGGUACAAAGGGUUGCCAACCCGCGAGGGGGAGCCAAUCCCAUAAAGCCAGUCGUAGUCCGGAUCGUAGUCUGCAACUCGACUACGUGAAGUCGGAACCGCUAGUAAUCGUGGAUCAGAAUGUCACGGUGAAUACGUUCCCGGGUCUU